GACGAACGCUGGCGGCGUGCUUAACACAUGCAAGUCGAACGGACAGACCCUGCUUUUGUGGGGUGCUCGAGUGGCGAGCGCGUGAGUAACACGUGUGUAUCCUGCCCUUGACUUUGGGAUAUCUCCAGGAAACUCGGGCUAUUACCCCAGAGAAUCUCCUGCUGCAUGGUGGUCGUUGGUAAGUUUCGGCUGUUGUGGAUGGUCUCGCGGCUUAUCGGCUUGUUGGUGGGGUAGUGGCUUACCAAGGCUGUGACGGAUAGCCGGCCUGGGAGGGUUGCCGGCGACCUGGGGACUGAGAGAGGGACCAGAAGGGUAUGGGAGGCAGCAGGGGGGAAUAUGGCGGAGUGGGGGGAAGCCAGAGGCAGCAACGCCGCGUGCGGGAUGCCGGGCUACGGGGGGUAAACAGCUGUGGACGUAGACGAAGCGUGAGUGACGGUAAUGGGUAAAGAAGCACCGGCUAACUACGUG
RNAcentral lists this ribosomal RNA (468 nucleotides) under uncultured bacterium. RNAcentral's name for it is "partial 16S ribosomal RNA". It matches the Rfam family "Bacterial small subunit ribosomal RNA", at positions 28 to 507 of the family's 1533-position model. The record is from RNAcentral.